This 95-nucleotide small RNA is filed under the name Sinorhizobium meliloti 2011. RNAcentral's name for it is "putative ncRNA". Lineage: Bacteria; Pseudomonadati; Pseudomonadota; Alphaproteobacteria; Hyphomicrobiales; Rhizobiaceae. The record is from RNAcentral.
AAAACACCGAGGCCUCGGCUAGAAUCGAGCGCCCCCCGGAACGCUGUAAGACAGCAGGACUGCCGUCCUCCUGGUAACGCAGGAGGUUGACGCAC